Non-coding RNA from Pelobates cultripes (western spadefoot toad), 444 nucleotides. Lineage: Eukaryota; Metazoa; Chordata; Amphibia; Anura; Pelobatidae. The record is from the annotation of a GenBank genome assembly.
GUAUUUGUCCUGAUUUCAGGGUAUUUUCCUCGUGUAGGUAUCCACAAGGAUUACCUUUUAACCUUGUCCACAAGUUGGAAUUAAUCAGGUCAAGGUGUAUGGCAAAGCGAUGUAUGACAUCAUUGCCGAUGUAAACCUGAUAGCGAGGUUCGUUUAUCACUAGGAAUAAAUGUUUAACUGUCUUAUUUCCGAUGGAAAUAGAUAGUAAACAUUUUGCUAUCACAUUGUGACUCUCUGAUUCGCCAUCCAGGUUCUGGAUCCACCUGUCAUGUGGGGAAGUGUACCUGAUCAUUUUAGGAUUAGCGAUCUGCUUUAACAGACUUCUGCCAAUAUAGCUGUUCUCACUCUUUAAGUCCAACUUUGCAUUCCUACUUCUUCCUAAGUCAUUUAUUUGAAUAGGAAAUAAUAAGUUAUUAACCCUUUCAAUUCUGGCAAGGAAUUGAG